GUAGGUGAACCUGCGGAAGGAUCAUUAUUGAAUCCUUAGGAUGUUGCUGGCCUUUCGGGGCAUGUGCACUCCGCCUUUCAAUACACCUGUGAACUUAUUGUAGGUGCAGAUUGUAACAGAUCUGUUGCCUAUGUUUUUAACACACUCAAAAUGUAUAUUGAAUGUCUAAAUAUGGCCUUUGAUGGUCAACAAACUUAAUACAACUUUCAACAAUGGAUCUCUUGGUUCUC
This 230-nucleotide unclassified non-coding RNA is filed under the name rhizosphere metagenome. Its description in RNAcentral is "partial ribosomal RNA internal transcribed spacer region". The record is from RNAcentral.